GCCGGGGUGGCGGAAUGGCAGACGCGUUGGUCUCAAAAACCAAUAAAGGUAAACUUUGUGAGGGUUCGACUCCCUCCCCCGGCA
This 84-nucleotide transfer RNA is filed under the name bacterium. Its description in RNAcentral is "tRNA-Leu". It matches the Rfam family "tRNA". From Rfam's summary of the family: Transfer RNA (tRNA) molecules are approximately 80 nucleotides in length. Their secondary structure includes four short double-helical elements and three loops (D, anti-codon, and T loops). Further hydrogen bonds mediate the characteristic L-shaped molecular structure. tRNAs have two regions of fundamental functional importance: the anti-codon, which is responsible for specific mRNA codon recognition, and the 3' end, to which the tRNAs corresponding amino acid is attached (by aminoacyl-tRNA synthetases). tRNAs cope with the degeneracy of the genetic code in two manners: having more than one tRNA (with a specific anti-codon) for a particular amino acid; and 'wobble' base-pairing, i.e. permitting non-standard base-pairing at the 3rd anti-codon position. The record is from RNAcentral.